This 506-nucleotide ribosomal RNA is filed under the name uncultured bacterium. Its description in RNAcentral is "partial 16S ribosomal RNA". It matches the Rfam family "Bacterial small subunit ribosomal RNA", at positions 29 to 523 of the family's 1533-position model. The record is from RNAcentral.
AGUGAACGCUGGCGGUAGGCCUAACACAUGCAAGUCGAACGGCAGCACAGAGGAGCUUGCUCCUUGGGUGGCGAGUGGCGGACGGGUGAGGAAUACAUCGGAAUCUACUCUGUCGUGGGGGAUAACGUAGGGAAACUUACGCUAAUACCGCAUACGACCUACGGGUGAAAGCAGGGGACCUUCGGGCCUUGCGCGAUUGAAUGAGCCGAUGUCGGAUUAGCUAGUUGGCGGGGUAAAGGCCCACCAAGGCGGCGAUCCGUAGCUGGUCUGAGAGGAUGGUCAGCCACACUGGAACUGAGACACGGUCCAGACUCCUACGGGAGGCAGCAGUGGGGAAUAUUGGACAAUGGGCGCAAGCCUGAUCCAGCCAUACCGCGUGGGUGAAGAAGGCCUUCGGGUUGUAAAGCCCUUUUGUUGGGAAAGAAAUCCAGCUGGCUAAUACCCGGUUGGGAUGACGGUACCCAAAGAAUAAGCACCGGCUAACUUCGUGCCAGCAGCCGCGGUAA